AUACGGAGGGUGCUAGCGUUACUCGGAAUCACUGGGCGUAAAGCGCGCGCAGGCGGCUUGAUAAGUUGGAUGUGAAAGCCUACGGCCCAACCGUAGAACUGCAUCCAAAACUGUCAGGCUAGAGUGUGGGAGAGGAAGAUGGAAUUAGUUGUGUAGGGGUAAAAUCCGUAGAGAUAACUAGGAAUACCAAAAGCGAAGGCAAUCUUCUGGAACACUACUGACGCUGAGGCGCGAAGGCGUGGGGAGCAAACAGGAUUAGAAACCCCAGUAGUCC
This 274-nucleotide ribosomal RNA is filed under the name uncultured bacterium. Its description in RNAcentral is "partial 16S ribosomal RNA". It matches the Rfam family "Bacterial small subunit ribosomal RNA", at positions 523 to 796 of the family's 1533-position model. The record is from RNAcentral.